CACGGAGUUAGCCGGAGCUUAUUCUCCCGGUACUGUCAUUAUCAUCCCGGGUAAAAGAGCUUUACAACCCUAAGGCCUUCAUCACUCACGCGGCAUUGCUGGAUAAGGCUUUCGCCCAUUGUCCAAUAUUCCCCACUGCUGCCUCCCGUAGGAGUCUGGGCCGUGUCUCAGUCCCAGUGUGGCUGAUCAUCCUCUCAGACCAGCUAAGGAUCGUCGCCUUGGUAGGCCAUUACCCCACCAACUAGCUAAUCCUACGCGGGCUCAUCCUUGGGCGAUAAAUCUUUGGUCCGAAGACAUCAUCCGGUAUUAGCAGUAAUUUCUCACUGUUAUUCCGAACCCAAGGGCAGAUUCCCACGCGUUACGCACCCGUGCGCCACUAUCCCCGAAGGGAUCGUUCGACUUGCAUGUGUUAGGCAUGCCGCCAGCGUCGUUCUGUAGCCACGGAGUCAAACUAC
RNAcentral lists this ribosomal RNA (455 nucleotides) under uncultured Sphingomonadaceae bacterium. Its description in RNAcentral is "partial 16S ribosomal RNA". Lineage: Bacteria; Pseudomonadati; Pseudomonadota; Alphaproteobacteria; Sphingomonadales; Sphingomonadaceae. The record is from RNAcentral.